This is a long non-coding RNA of Herpailurus yagouaroundi (jaguarundi), 708 nucleotides long. RefSeq lists it as uncharacterized. The record is from RefSeq and is a predicted model, not a curated record. Lineage: Eukaryota; Metazoa; Chordata; Mammalia; Carnivora; Felidae. The transcript has 3 exons.
GUUUGCAAGGUACCUACGGCAACAAUGUAUCUCUUCAGAACGGCACGAGGCAGUGUGAGGAGACCAGGUGGCACUGACAGUUCAUUUGUGGAAAAAGGAUGUGGCCCUCGUUAUAAGGCAAAGUGGCCGUGUGGCCUGGAUCUAGAGGACAAGAGGAAUCAGCUGCUCGCAAGUGACCGACUGAGCCAAAUGCGAAGAAAUCAGGCAGGCCCUGACCUUCAUGCUUCGACACAUCCUGACAAGUGACAGGCACGUGGGCAGCCUAUCAGGUCCACACGUUUCCUGAAACCCCCCAGUCGGCAAGGCCCUAAGGACCGGGCGCCUGGCCCACCUUGUCCGAUAACUUGAGUCCGGCUCCGCCCUUCGCCCGUGUUGACCGCGGUGGCCUCUGCUCGGCGGGGUGGCCGCAUCUGCUCCCGGCUCCGGGAGGUCUGCUAAAGCCCGUUCAGGUGCACCGCUGGCAGGUCAGGUGGUCCACGUGCCGAGGGGAGGAGACAGCGUCCUUACCCGGUUUCUGCUUCAUUCACGGUUGGAGCUGACGAAUUCUACAGGCUCCCUUUGGCCGGGGCUUUCGGAUACGCGUGGCAGUGCUGUGAGCCGGAGUCCGGGAGACCGUGCAUUGAGAUGCACGGUUGGGUCGCAGGCAGAGUUGUCUUGUUGGGGACGGUGUUUCCAAGACAACGACCGGUGGUUAAGAGGUGAUGAUUC